ACUGACUCAAUUGUAAUAUUUAAGUGUCGAAAACCUACCCCUAUCUCAUUCGUCUCUCUCAACCCUUUACCUCUCAGAAACUAAACGAAACCCUAAGUCACCGCCCUAAAAUCCUCUCCCUUUCCGGUGGCGGCGCCACCACCAAACCACCCCAAAUCAACACCCCAAACUCCCCUUCCUCCCAUCAUACCUAGUCCAUCGUUGUUUUCCUUCGAAUCUGCCCCGAGCUCCUCGAAUCUUAAAUCCGAGUUCAACCCCUAAAAGUUCAAAAUCAUUUUUAUCGAACCUGGUAGCGUGCAUGAUCAUGGAGGGACUAUUCUUUCGAGCUUUGAAGUUUGGAUUCAAUAAAACUGAAAUCGUUCAGUUGUUCUUGACAAAGAACAAGGGAUCGACAUUAGUUUUGUUAGGUCAUUUGUCUUCAGUAGGUUUCGAGUCCUGAUUUGGUAAGUUACCUUCCCCUCUUUUGUCUGUUCUUUCUUCUCCUUCCCUUUUCUUUGGUUUAAUUUUCUUCUACUAGUCUGGUUGAAACUCGACCAAUCCGCCAGGUUUAAACUAUCUUCUGUUCGUUGUUUUUUUUGUUUUCCUUUGUGAAAGUUUGUUCUCUGUUUCCUUAGUUGUGUUAUCAGCCCCGUUUAAAGUUCUGAUUUCAUAUCUUGUUUAGUCACCUAGUUAAUUUAAUUAGGGUUAUGUUAAUAACUUGGUUAAUUUCUUGCUUAUUUGUAAUCAGUUGAUUAGUGUAGGUUUUAAUUCUCGAAAUCAUUCAAGUGUUUGCCCUUUGUUUGUUGACUGAUUUGAUUUAGUUUAUCUAGUUGUUUGGGAUUUGAAGCCAUUUCAGACCUCACCCCAAGGGGGUUGAUUUAGGUCAUUGGGUCAGAAUUAAGCCCAAAUUUUGGUUUAGUUAUCGGGUCAAUUUGACCCAUUUGGGUUCCUAGAGUAAAAAACAGGGGUGUGAGGGGUAGUAUAGGAAAUUGGCCUAGGGAAUCUUUUGUAACUGACUGAGGGAAGCUUCCUGGAAGCUGGGGUGGGGACUAAUGUGAAAAUCUGAUUUUUGGCUAGGGGUUUUUAAGCUAAAACGAAAAUUAGAAAGGGGCAAAGUGCAAGCUAAGUCUGCCCUAGUAGCUUGCCUAUAAAGGCAUUCUAAACUUGCCUUUCAAGGCAGACCCAAGAGAGAACAAAAAAGCUAAAAAAUUCUGAAACUACACUAAUUUCCACCAAAUUUCUUUGAUAAAACUGAUCAAAUUUUGUAUUAGCUAGAGGUCUCUGAUCUUCUUCAUUAGUUAAAAUCUCUGAAAAUUUUCACAUCUUGCACCUGGGUUGGGAAGUGGUUUGAUUUUAGGUUUAAAGUCAGGGUUUCAAGCUGCUGCAAGGACACUGUUGCAUUGAUACUGCUGUGCUUUUGUUCUACUGUUUACUGCCUAUCUUCACUUCUUUUUCCUUUGCAAUUUCCAGGUAUGCCUUUGAGACUGUCAUGGAAUUGAAGCCUGACUGAAUUUGUGUAAAGAUCUGGAAACUUGAGUUGGAAUUUAAAUGAAAACACCAUCUCUUGUUGUAAUUACUACUAGAUUUGGUUAUCUUAUGUUAGUAAAUUCCCCAGUUCUAUAGUAACUUAAUUUUCUUUGCAUGUGUUGGUUUGCUUGUUCAUGCUAUUGGUUUAAGGCUGUGCUGGCUAUUUAGAAUAGAGGUUUAAAUUCAGAAUGUCGGCAUUGUAAUAAGGAUUGAGAUCUAUCAUAUGAGUGGAUUGUCAGACAUGCUGUAAUAGAAGGUUAUUUGAGUGUGUUAAGUUAGUGUUCGUAUAGUUUGAGGUCUUACUUUGCAAUUUGAAAAGUUUUACAGUAUUUCACAUAGUUAAAACUGCCAUUUAAAUGGUCUGAGUGGGCUUAAAUUUUCUAUGUUUUGUUGUGAGAAUAAUUUAGAAAUUAAUUGCAAGUAUGAGCCACUGUUGUUUGUUAUCAAUGCAUGGGAUGUUAGAAAUGUUUGGAGAGCUGAUAGCUUGUUGAGGCCUUGGUGUUGGAUAGGACUUGAUUUCGAGUCUUAAUUUCCAAUUUUGGGUUUUUGCAAGUCUUUGGUCCAUGGAAACUUAGAUUUCUGGGCCAUUUUCAAGAGAGGAUGGCACGUUGGAUGCAUUGGAUUUGUCUGCUGAGCCCAAUGGCUUGUAUGGUUGUUGUUGGACAUUUCACAUAGCAGACUUGAUUCAAACGCAUGCUGGAAAAAAUAAAAUCGGAAUUUUAGUUUAAUUAAUUUGUAUCAGUUGUUUAAAAUCAUAAUUCUAACUUGCUAAUUC
Molecule: long non-coding RNA, 2281 nt
Filed under: Nicotiana tabacum (common tobacco)
Lineage: Eukaryota; Viridiplantae; Streptophyta; Magnoliopsida; Solanales; Solanaceae
Description: long non-coding RNA (NTAB_LNC011152)
Source: RNAcentral